RNAcentral lists this long non-coding RNA (871 nucleotides) under Citrus x clementina. RNAcentral's name for it is "Citrus clementina (C. clementina) long non-coding RNA (CCLE_LNC005199)". Lineage: Eukaryota; Viridiplantae; Streptophyta; Magnoliopsida; Sapindales; Rutaceae. The record is from RNAcentral.
AUUUUGUUAUGCUAUAUUAUUAAUGUUUGUUGAUGCCUAAAGUAUUACUUUUUACUAAUUUGACAGUAAAUUUAGUAUGAGUUGAUUUUGAGAUAUGCAAUAAGCUCAGAAUCCAGAUGUCUUUGAUUUAAUUAACUGACUCAAAUUACAUGUACGAUGUACAUGUAAUUUGAGGAUAAUUGUGCAUGUGCGAAAUCAAUUUGGCUGAAAGGUUGUGUCAAUUAAGCUUCAUAUAUAGUAACAAAAACAAUAAUAAUAUUUCUGUCUUUGGAGUAUAACAGGGGUUUGGAGAUUAUAUUUAAUUGCAAAGGGGCUUCUGAAAAUCUUUAGGAUAAAUAAAAAAAAUAGCAUUAAAGCAAAAACAAUCUGAUGAUUACGCAAUCAAAUUUUACCUAAUUAAGGGUGCAAUUGCAAAAGAGACCGAUAAGCUUAGGUCACUUCACCUAACAUAUUCUUUUGACAUUGUCUAGGAACAUGUAAUUUAUGUUAAAAAAAAAGGAUUAUUUCUACCCAGUCUCCAAAUGUUUCGACACUUUCCACCGUGCCUUCAAAUGUUUCAACAACCUCCACCCGCAUCUAUUUUCGUUAAUUUGACCUUUAUUUUUAACGGAUUUGUUUGAAAUUUAAGUAAAUGUCAGAAAUGUCCCUUAUCUUGAAUUGGAGAAGAAUAAAAUGACAUAAAAUGCUAAUCCAAUAAUUGAUAUUUAUAUUAAAAAGGAAAAAGGACAAACACACCCUCAAUGUUUAGGCAAAGGAACAAAAACUCCCCUAACGUUUCAAAAAAGACAUUUACACCUCAAUUUAUUAUAAUUUUACCAUUAUACCCUUCUAGCAUAUAAAAAAAUUAGAUUAUCCAAUUUGUCUAUAUAUU